CAGACUCUGUUGGGUACAAGUGACACAGAAAGUCAUCUCAAACUAGCUGAAACACAAAAGCGCAGGAAGGCGGAAGGGAAGGCGGAGACCGGCAAGAGAGGGGAGAAGGCCCGGGGAAGACGCUCGGGACCAAGAUGCGGGGCCCGGGUGCGAGCAGCUGAACCUCUCGGCCCCCAGGCGUGGUGACCUGGGUGGCGACGCUCGUGGAGGCCGAGGAGCUUCUGGACCGGCGCUUCGGGGGACCAAGUGGAGAGGCUGCUGGAGUUGUCGCCUGAGUCCUCCCUUAGUUCUUCGCGCCGGCCUCGCCCACGGCUCCGGGUCCCAGCCGCCACUGCAGUCUCCGCAGCACCGAGCGGGGCUCCACCGACUCGCGACCUCCAGCCUCCGCCUCAAGGGCAGGGAGCGCGGCUGGGUCUCUGGAAAGCCAUUUUUAAAUCACUGCCUCUGCUGCCCCCAUGUGAGGUCGGAGUGUCCUCCCCCGUCUUUGCUUUCAGGUUCUUUCAGGUUCCUUUGGGCAAACCCGCAGCUAAGAGUCCAGCUUGUGAACUUGAACCUGAACUUGCUGAAGAAGCUCCCGGCGGCCCCCUGCUGUCUGCGGCCUUUGUUUGAGGGAGAGGCUGGGGUCACCCGGUUGGGCCGCAUUUCCGGGGCCGUCACCUGUCGGGCUGCCAGGCCGCGCGUACCUUGUCCCAUCGGGGGCUCUGCUCUGCCCCCUGCGCUGAUGACGCGGGUGGAAGGGAGGUAUCAGGGGCACUCUGGGGAGCUGUACCUGGCGGGCACCCCCCAGCUGCUCUCCGUGGGGUACGACACCGAGACCUGGUUGGGCUGCAAGGAGACCGACUGGGAUUCCCGGGCUGGUGGCCGGGGAGACGAAGGCGGGGGGUGAGAGGCAGGAACCCAGGAGGCCCCAGGCCCAGCGCUGUGGGGCUGCUGUUGUCGUUCUGCGUGGAGGUCUGGCCAAACUGGCUUUUGCCCCGAGUGAGGAAUUCCUGCUCUUUUUUGGUUUUGGUAAGAGGUCGCUAUUCACAGAGGGGGCGGGGUUCGUCCCCUCCAGGCGAGUACGGGGCUGGCGGGCGCAGUGCUGCCUUUCUGCUCUGUCUCUUGAUCCCGCUUAGGAUCUUUGUGGCUCCUCUGAGUCUUCUUAGAGAGGCCGUGAAAGAUGGGAAAGGCAGGUUGCUGAAACGCUGCUGCUCGGGGCUGGCAGAGACCCUGGUAUAGGGAAGGCGCACCACUGUGGGUCAGAUCAGCUGACAGUGGGGGUUUUAGGUGAUGGGGUAACCUUACAGUUCGGAUCUCUUAGAACCCAGAAGCAGGUAGGCGAUCGCUGCUUCAUCACACUUCACAGGGAGUCCUGGAUCUUUCCUGUCCGUAACCCAUGGACGCCAUGAUUCAGUAUGGCGGAGGUCCGGGGCUUAAGUUCCUGUUCAUGCUUCCUAAUCAUUCAUGGAUCCAUCACAAUGUGCUCUGAAGGGCCUCUCUUGCUGGGAUUGAGAAGGAUACAUUUUUUGAGCAGGUUUUUAUACUCAAUGGACAUGUAGAAGGGAAUAUAUUCUACUCAGUUCCCCUCCUGCAGCUCCUUGAAAUUCUGUCCAUCAAAAGCAGGGAUCUGCUGACCAGAGGUGACUGCCACAGAAGGUAUCCAGUUUGUAAAAGCUGAAUUUGUUGCUGAAGCCAGAAUUUGCAAUCUUGAUGUUUGUGUUAACAUCCAAGAGCGUGUUUUCUGCCUUUAAAUCUCUGUGGACAAUACGUUUCUGGUGACAGCUUGCACAGCAGACACUUUUGGUAGAAUUUGCUUCAGUCCUUUUUUUUUCUUUCCUGCUGCCAUGAGCAGGUAUUCACAAACUUCUCCUCCUGGCUAGUGUGCUUCAUGACAAAGCAAAGAGAUUCCUCAAUAUCGAUCACAGCAAAUGUUUCACUAUGUUGGGGUGAUCCGAGCCUUCAUGGUUCCUACUUUGUGGAUGGUGUCUGGAGGAGAUCUGCUGAGUCUCAUCAAUGAACUUCACAGCUGCUGCUUUCCCAGUUAAGAGGUCCCAGGCCAACCUUACCUUAGCCAGGUUGCCCUUGACGAUGGUCUCAAGGAUCCUAGCUGCCAGUAAGGGUCCCUUCUCAGCAGAGAUGGCUGAGAGGCCCUGUGGCAUGUGAGACUUACUGCUGGGCUUGGAGUCAAGGUGUCCCAGGUCAGCUUAAUUUCGGGAAAAACUGGUAAGACGCUUGGUUCAAAUCACUUGAAAAGAAAAUCACUUGCAUAGUUCACCUGAAGAAUGGAUCUCUAUAAUGGAAUUAAAGCACAAUGCUGGACAAAAAGUAAGAAAAAGCAACAAACUGAAAGGAAAAAUUGAGUAAAAAGAAUAAAGAACUAGAACUGGCAACCUCAGCCAAGCCAGGGAAUUACAUACAUCUUGGAAUUCCAAAGCAAUGCUUCCUUAUGAGGGCAUAGGAAGAAAUAAAUCUAAUAACAAGGCUGGGAUUAAUUCACGUGGUUUUCUCACAUUUUGGUCUCAAGAACUUUUUACUCUAAAACUAAUUAUUGAGGACCCCAAAGAGCUUUUUAUGUGGGUUAUAGUUAUCAGUAUUUACUUUAUUGGAAAUUAAAACCUGUAGGAUGUUUCAGUGGUCUUUUCUAGUUUGAAGGGUUUAAUAAUUUUUGGCUUUUA
RNAcentral lists this long non-coding RNA (2654 nucleotides) under Homo sapiens (human). RNAcentral's name for it is "non-protein coding LINC00865:6". The record is from RNAcentral. Lineage: Eukaryota; Metazoa; Chordata; Mammalia; Primates; Hominidae.